Molecule: unclassified non-coding RNA, 454 nt
Filed under: Peltoboykinia tellimoides
Lineage: Eukaryota; Viridiplantae; Streptophyta; Magnoliopsida; Saxifragales; Saxifragaceae
Description: partial miscellaneous RNA
Source: RNAcentral
AAAUGCGUGGGUGGACAGGCUCCCUGCUUGUGCAGCGAACUGUUUUACCCAUGUAUCUUCAUUUUCUCUCAAUUGCUUUCAAAGCAUAUUUGGGAUUCAUUUGGUUUCUGUGUUGUCUACCUCAAAUGGAAAUUGUGACCUAUCUUUGUGAUAUGACCUCUGGAACCCUUUUUGGGAACUCGGCGGUUUAUGCAAUUAUUUGCACAAUCCAUUCACUCGCUACUAUUUCAUGUAUUGGGUGGCAUGGCCUAUGUAAAUACAUUGGUGCUCCUGGAUGCAGAACAUUAUGGAGGGUAAUGGGGCUUGUUCCCUAUUAACCCAAGCUGAGCACUAUGCUCCGCAAGUACGACAACUGUGGUUGUGUUGACCCUCCCAACAUUUUUGAUGGGAGGGCUCAUGCGAUGCCAGUGUCAUAAAGAAUGCUACCUGGUUGAUCCUGCCAGUAGUCAUAUGC